RNAcentral lists this non-coding RNA (30 nucleotides) under Mus musculus (house mouse). The record is from RNAcentral. Lineage: Eukaryota; Metazoa; Chordata; Mammalia; Rodentia; Muridae.
GCUGAAGAGUCAGAAAUUUUGUGCCUCGAG